UGAGGAAUCUUCGUCAAUGGGCGCAAGCCUGAACGAGCGACGCCGCGUGUGGGAUGACGCAUUUCGGUGUGUAAACCACUUUUAACGGGGACGAGAAUGGACGGUACCCGAAGAAUCAGCAUCGGCUAACUACGUGCCAGCAGCCGCGGUAAUACGUAGGAUGCAAGCGUUGUCCGGAGUUACUGGGCGUAAAGCGUGUGCAGGCGGUCUGUUGCGUCUUUGAUGAAAUCUCCCGGCUCAACUGGGAGGGGGUCAAGGAUACGGGCAGACUUGAGGGCUUGAGAGGGACAUAGAACUCCCGGUGGAGCAGUGAAAUGUAUAGAGAUCGGGAAGAAUACCAGAGGGGAAGCCGGUGUCCUGGCAAGUGCCUGACGCUCAGACACGAAAGCUUGGGGAGCAAACA
Molecule: ribosomal RNA, 403 nt
Filed under: uncultured bacterium
Lineage: Bacteria
Description: bacterial SSU rRNA
Rfam family: Bacterial small subunit ribosomal RNA
Source: RNAcentral